This is a long non-coding RNA of Oreochromis aureus, 671 nucleotides long. RefSeq lists it as uncharacterized. The record is from RefSeq and is a predicted model, not a curated record. Lineage: Eukaryota; Metazoa; Chordata; Actinopteri; Cichliformes; Cichlidae. The transcript is spliced from 4 exons.
AUGAAGAGUCCAUCAGUGUAUCUGCUCCUUGGUGUGUGUGUGCUGCUGCUGUCUGCACUGACUGUUUCUGCAGUCCUUGCCUGCCUGCCUCCAUUUUCUCCGAAUCGAGCAUUCCUCAACUUAAUGAUCAUCAUUCCGUAUUUCAUCUCCACCUUCCUGAUGGUGUCGAUUCAUGAAAGAAUCCAGAGAGGAGCAGGAAGAACCAGCUGAACUGAGACAAGACCGUGGUUUGAAGCUAAGCUCUGUUGAUCUACCUUUGGAAAGAUUUUGGUUGACUGCUGCUAAGGAGUUCCCCAUCUUGUCAAACAGAGCUAUCUCUCUACAACAUAUCGAUGUUGUGUGUUUCUAGCAGGGCUGCUAUAAAAGUUAAAAACAGGAUGUCAGAUCUGUGUUCAUCUAAACAGGCCCAGGUUUCACACUGAGUGAGUCUAAACAAACUGUGAGACUACAUUGUGGAUAUUUGUACUGUAUUUGGCUAUCAUGUAUAAUUUUGGAACAUAUCUGGUUGGUGGUGUGCUACAGGAUAUUUCUGAUCUAUAAAAUGUGCCGUGGGUCAAAAAAGGUUGAAAAAUCCCAAAUUACAGGAUAUUACACCAUAAGUCACAAGUCAUAAAAUCUCACUCUGAACUUUAUGUCUCACAUGAACUGUUGGUGUGUUGUACUGUAGAUAA